Molecule: long non-coding RNA, 413 nt
Organism: Falco peregrinus (peregrine falcon)
Lineage: Eukaryota; Metazoa; Chordata; Aves; Falconiformes; Falconidae
Exons: 3
Source: RefSeq, a predicted model, not a curated record
CUUAUCAAUACUUGACCCAAAUACUUGAGCCACAGGAAUAAUUAUCCACACACCCAGCACACCACUUGAAAGUAUGUUAACUCAGGGAAUUAUAAACUCCAGAAGAACAAAAUUGGCAAAGAAACCUACUGUCAGAAAACAGCCUCAUCUCCAGUGCUCCAUUCUUGUCAUUGCUCGAACAGAUGCUGAAUGUAGAUAUCUGCUGCUUUGGGUACGUUUAAAAAAGAAUAUGCCUACACGACUACUUUCAGAAUGUUUCAGACUUCCUGAAGACACAAUUUCUUAUUUUUUCCCUUCUGAUUCCUUCAUUUUGGUGCUUGGAGUGGUAGUGUGUUUUUCCAGGAGGAAUGGCUCUUAUCAUCAUGAAUAUCACCUUUUGAUACAGUUCAGGUAGGCCAUCAAAUGUAAAAAAU